Molecule: ribosomal RNA, 120 nt
Filed under: Helianthus annuus (common sunflower)
Lineage: Eukaryota; Viridiplantae; Streptophyta; Magnoliopsida; Asterales; Asteraceae
Source: RNAcentral
GGUUGCGAUCAUACCAGCACUAAUGCACCGGAUCCCAUCAGAACUCCGCAGUUAAGCGGGCUUGGGCGAGAGUAGUACUAGGAUGGGUGACCCCCUGGGAAGUCCUCGUGUUGCAACCCC